GCCAUGUGUGCUGCUCGGGUCAGGGUGUCUACGCCGUUGCCCUUUUAAGGACGCUGUGGGAAGCAGGAGAAUGACGUUUACAGGCGCGAGCCCGGAGUCGCUGCUCUCAGCGCCAGGCGGAGCGGCGAGAAACAACGCACGGUGAGUUCCACUGCUAACUUUCUCUCUUCAUCAGUCUUGCUCGUAUGUACGAGUCUGUCCCGAGACAGCGCUAUACGCUCGAACAACGACAACACUAUAAGGGGUUCGAGUGAACAGGAAUAGUCUCAAAACUCAGGAGAAUACGGUGUUAUUGGGGCGCGCGGUUGGCGCAAAGCUAGUGAGCUAAGGUAGCUAGCAGGCGCCGCUAGUCCCGUAUAAACACACCAGUGUUUGGUUAGCAAGCUAGCGCUAGUCGGGGUUAGCAAGCUAAAACUGAGACUGGCGCUUGUUCAAAUAUGGCGGUGGAGGAUGAGAUGCCGCUACACAUUUAGCUCCAACUUUCUGUGUCGUCUUCAGUGACAUAUCUUGUGUACUUGUGUAUUGUGGUCUAAAGCGUUACCGCGAGUUCACCACUGAAGGGAACUCAAACUCGCGGUAGCUACUCUGUGUCUGAGAGAGAGAGAGAGAGAGAGAGAGAUAUCGAGCCAAGUCAGCUAGCUAGUCUGCAGUCCAUAUUGAGUUCAGCGUUAGCCUGCCAGCUAACCUAGCAAAAACUUCUUUAAGCAUUUUUGUCUACAGCUAAUCAGGUUGUAAUGUUUAAAACUUGCUUUUUUUUUUAUUAUAUAUUAAUCCUUAGAUCACUUCUCAGAGACGGCCUUGCUAGUUAUCUAUUUAGCUUAGUUUUCGGUUAUAUAGACUGAGCGUGCUCGGGUUUUAGCACAGUUACAACAGGCGGUUAAUCUUAUGCCAGUUAUUUACAUAUGGCUGUAUCAUCUUGUACUGAACCAUCCAUGAGUGAUGUGCACACACAACUCUGGCUCAUAUGCACUGAAGUUUUGUAAUGAGGUAACGAGUUUCCCGAAUGCUAGCAGUGAUGCUAUGAUGGGCGUUUCUCAGUGUUUAAUUAAUCUUCUGAUUCUUCUCUUAUUAUUAUUAUUAUUAUUAUUAUUAUUAUUAUUAUUAUUAUUAUUGCCAGUCUGUUGGUGUUUAUUGAGACCUUGCGUUCUGUGUUAUUUGUUUGACCCAUCUUAUCCAUGCACACAUUGGACAAGUAAUGAAAACUUUUUUCAUUUGUAAAGGGAAGUUGGAGAAGUCACAAGUAAAACCAAGAUUUUUUAGACCUCUAAUAUGCAGCCAAACUGUUGUAUAGUGUUAUGAAUGCUUGCAAAAUUUGCAGAAGUAAAAUAAGAAGUAACUGAUUUGUACAAAUAAGACACUGGAAUGGUAGGAAUGCCCAUUUGUGGAGUGUAGUGGGUUUUUUAUUUUUUUAUUUUUUUUUAUUAUUUUUUUUUACUUUUCUGGACACAUCACCUUAUGUACAGAUGGUAAAGUUUUAACAAACAGAAACUUACACAGUUUACUUUUGUUUUUCUUUGGCCUUCUUUAACUCAAGCACAAAGCACUUUUUUUUUUGUUGUUUUAUUAAAAAAAAAUAUUCAGAAUAACAAUUCAUUACAAUUGCGAAACAAAUCUUCUGUCUGACCAUGUUAAAAUUAUUACUGAGCGUAAACAGCCUCUGACCUAUAACUACAUUUUCAGUGUUACUCAUCCAUUUAAAUAAAAACAUGUCAACAUGGUUAUUAAUACACUUUUGAGGAAGUUUCUUCUAUAUAGUUUUGUUUGAGUUAAACAAAGAGCUAAAUGUUUUUUAGGUCUUGCUUCGUGUCGCACACAUCUAGUCAUGUAUGCAAAUCUAGUCAUGGAUGGUGACUGUCAUGGUGUUAAUUAUGGUUUGGGUUUGGUUUCCUUACAGAGCUCAACCCAAAUCAUGGACUAAAUUGCCAAGCCAUUGAAGAUUCACCAGACAAACUCCUUAUUGGUAUUUAUUUUGGGUUUAAUCCAGGCUGUAGAGGUGUGUGCCGAGAGA
This is a long non-coding RNA of Ictalurus punctatus (channel catfish), 2008 nucleotides long. Lineage: Eukaryota; Metazoa; Chordata; Actinopteri; Siluriformes; Ictaluridae. The record is from Ensembl.